CGGAGCUGUAGGAGAAACACAAACUACCUCAGACACACAGACUGAUGCGACAAAACCAGCCAGGUCUGUGUAGUUCUUUCUGCAGUAGCUCUGAACCUCAUACCAAGUAAAAGACUUAUUAACAAAGUGGUACUGAUGGCAUUUGGAGAGGACGAGCCCCCCUGUGAGGAAAAUAUGAAUGAUGAACAUCUCUCAACAUGUAAGCUGGCUGUAUUACAACAUAUCACAGCAAUAAGGACUGGCCAAGGGAGACAAAAGAAUCCACUGACCUGAGAGAUACAAGACACCCAGCAGGAUCUUCACAAUCAUCAUGCUGCUCUGUGGACUGGAAGAGGAAAGUCUGGCUAUGUAAUCAAAAUGCCAGGCCUACGUAGUUCUUUCUGCAGUAGCUCUGAGCCUCAUACCAAGUAAAAGGCUUAUUAACAAAGUGGUACCGACGGCAUUUGGAGAGGACGAGCCCCCCUGUGAGGAAAAUAUGAAUGAUGAACAUCUCUCA
Molecule: long non-coding RNA, 496 nt
Organism: Oreochromis aureus
Lineage: Eukaryota; Metazoa; Chordata; Actinopteri; Cichliformes; Cichlidae
Exons: 3
Source: RefSeq, a predicted model, not a curated record